This is a non-coding RNA of Cyanistes caeruleus (blue tit), 3600 nucleotides long. The record is from RefSeq and is a predicted model, not a curated record. NCBI's taxonomy places the organism in Eukaryota, Metazoa, Chordata, Aves, Passeriformes, Paridae.
AGCUGGGAAUUAAAAGAAAGUAACAGAUGUCAUUCAAAAGCCCAAGGCAUGAGGAAGGGCUGAAUCAUGCCCUGGCAGGAGGGGAGCUGUGGCACCAGGGAAUUCCUCAGCUUUGCACAUCAGCUGAAAGUGUGGGGGGCAAUGGAAACCCUACAAAUAACAAGAGGGAGAAUUGCCCAGGCAGCCCUGGGAGCCUGACCCUGCUGCAGGAGGAACAGGAGACACCAAGGGCAUGAGAGUCAGUGGCACGUGGAAGUGAGGGGCAGCAGGGCUGUGCGGGGACCACGGGACGAGGGGAGCAGGGGACAUCACGCAGGGCUGGAGCCGGAGAGUGGCCACUGCGUGGGGGACAGCAGAGCCCGCCAGAAAGGGGAAAACAGAAGGAUUUAUGAGCACAGCCAUGAUGAGAGCCAGUUAUCCGUGACCAUCCUAAAUCUUGUCAGAGACAGGAUGAAAGGGACCAUCUCCAGUGGACAGGCUGGAAGAUUUAACACCACCAUUCCACAGUGUAAUCACAAAAUGAGCCCCCCACGCUCGUGGGAAGGGGACUGCCUCCUGCCUGUGCUCCCAGGGCUGAGCCACACCUCAGAGAGCAGGGAGGGAGGUCAAACAACACCAGGGGCACUCCAAAGAGACCCAGCAUCUCUGCCACAGCCUGAGGAGGGUCAGGAUGCUGCCAGCCUCUGCAGCCCAGGCAGCCAAAGGCUCGGGUCAGCACAGCCACACACCCGUUCUCCCACAGUUUUAUUAAUGACACCGCAUUUCCAGCCCAGCUGCUGCACUGGGAAUUGUGCUUGGAAUUGGGACUGUUGCACUUCCCCUUGUCCCAGCCACAGGGAAGAGGACACAGCCCCACAGCAGCAUCCCAGGCGCUGAGAAGGUGCUACAGAACCUCUGCCCACUCCUCUGUGCCUGGGUGCGAGGGCUCAGUGGACACACACUGAGCUCUGCCUGCUCUCCACACGUGCCCUGCUCUCCAGCCCAGCCCUCAAGCCCUUGUACAGCUCUCAGGCCAGCAGAAAUGCCCAGUGGGUUGAGCUUUCACAGCGAGGGUUUGGGGAAUGGGAACUCGGGCAGCAGCAGAGUGAGCCCAGGGGCCUCUCCCCAAACCUGGGGAGACGGGUCACUGCCACCUCCCACGGGCAAGGAGGGCUCCAGCCAGGGACACGGGGGCACAGGGGACAGGAAGAGCAGUCACAGCCACUGAAGCCCCCAUGCCCACAGACAGAGGCCACAGGAGCUGCCUGCCUCCCCCUCUGCAACCAAGCAGCCUCAUCAUCUGUCCCCAAGAGAGAAAGCAAUCAGGUAAGCAACGUCUACAAGCCCAUAUGGACGGGCUGGGAUGCUGCCCAAGCUUCAGCUCAAAAAAAAGUGCACAUUUUCUGGUAUAAAUAUUUUGGUUUGCCUCCUCCUCGCCGGCCCACGGGCUCCAGCACAGGAAGCACAGCAGCAGCCCUGCUCAGAGUGUCUGGCAAGAGGCUGAUCCCCACAGUUACCAAAGUGUGCUGCAACAAAAGCCCACACACACUGACCCCGCUGCCCACAUGCCUCCCAGGCAUUGCCACGAAGGAGAGAGGCUUCUGGCAGAGUGGAGCCAGGCUUUCAGCCCCUGGAAGGUGCUGCUUCACAAAGGACCUCAGCAACUGCCACAUGUAGGACCAAGGAGAUGCCUUGUGACACCCUCCAGUUCCCAUGGAGCUCUUUGGUUCCUUUUGUUCCUGCCAUCUCCCAUGACAGAAAAGAGCUGAUUCCUUUCCUGUUGGCAGCCUAAAAUCAUGGAAUCACAUGAAUGGUUUGGAGCACCUGUGGCCAUGUCUCACCAGUGCUGGAAACAAGGAUCGAGCUGCCACAUUCCCAUGGAACAACAGUGAUUCAACCCAGCACUGGUGCUCCCUGGGAGAUGGUGACCAAAGCAGGAACAUGUGGGAGGACCCAAAAGGAGCCAAAAGUGAGUCCUGGAAUAGGAGGAAUGAGGCUGGAGGGAAGGUGCCAGCAGAGCUCCCUGCAGGGCAGGUAGGAAAGCCAAGAAAAGUAAAAUUAUUUGCCCAGGAUCACUCAUCAGAAGGCUCUGCACAUUCAGGAGGGUUCAAAAGGAGCAGAGAAGGGCACCUGAAUGAGCUGGUGAGUGGAGGACACAUGGUAUAAAAGCAUUGUAGAAGAACAGAGCUUGCUCAGCCUUGAUAAAGCAAACUGGCAGUGAUGUGAUUUUUUUUUUUUUUUUUUUUUUUUUUUUUUGUCUAUAAAUACACCUGGAGGCCAAACACCAGGGAGGAGGGGGGAAGCUAUUUAAGAUGAAGGACGAUAGUGGUACAUGAAAACAUCCAUAUUUAUGACUGAGGAAGUGAAAGAGCAAGUUAUGGGGAGAGAGAAGGGAGAAAUGAAUGACCUGAAGGGUAGGCAGAGGAGCUCCAGGCAGGGGCCGAGCAGGAGCUGCCUCUCCCAGGGGAGGAUUCCUGAAGGAUCUGCCUUGCGGAGCUCAGGGUGCUCACCCUUCCUGCAGGACUGGACAAGCUUUGGCACCAAGUGGCAGAAGGGAGGGGAAGCAGGAGCAGGGUUAUGGAGGAGAGGAAGAGAUGUUCAGUCCCAGCCUGAGCAGGGUGUUCAGGGAGCAGGGGGGAAGAAGCUGCCUGCCAAACUGCCCCUCAGCAUCAGCAGCAGGAAAACAGGUGCCUGGGCCCACAGGAGAAGCUGAUGCUUCAUCCUCUCAUCCCCCAGGGCUUUCCACACACACUUGGCAGGUGCUGGGAAGAGUCUUUAGGUCCCUGGGCCAGCAAGGAGUACAGAUCCCCCCAAAAUGUCACCAGCACAGCAGCCCCAGCACCCCCCUGUGCUCUGCUGUCCUCCUGGCUCAGAAGCAGAGCCAGACAUUGCUUUCUCACCCCCGCUUCUAGCAGCAAGCUGGGAUUUCCAUAACCAUUAAAAACAAGCCUUUGUUAUUAGCCCUGUGAAUUAUUUAUCCUGUCAUAAUUAAUGCAGGAGCGUUAAGGGCCGUGGCAGAGCUCCCCAGCUCGCCUGUCAGCAAACACCACUCCAGCCCUGCUCACCACUCGGGCAUUAAAUAUGCAUUGGGGCUGAUAAAUGGCUCCAGCACGCUGAUCACUGCCAGGCUGUCAAACAAAGUGCCCUGGGCAUGGACCCUUCCCUGGGGAAGGGCUGUGCUGUGAUGAACUGGAGAUGGCAGGGGAGGGGGGCAGCUCCCAGGGGGCACAGGACUCAUCCCCCCCUCGCAGCUCUUCCCAUCCCCUGCUCUUACCACCGAGCAGAGACACCUUCCUGGGGGUGGUAUCUGAGCCAUCCUCAGAUAAAUCACCCCCCUCAGGCUCUGCAUUCAUGUCUGGCCCGCUCUGUUUUCGUGUCAGGUUUGGGGAGGAUGAACCCCUCCGAGUCCUCCUUGCUGUUCAGAGAUGCCAGCUGGGCUGCAGGGCUCCAGGGACCCUGACCCCAGAGGGAGAUGCCCACUCUGCCUGAGCCUCCCAGGCCAGGAAGGGAAGGUGUGGACUCCUCUACCAUGAGUGGCUUCACAGGUUUUCAUCAAAUGCCUGCAAAGAAGGAGGGAGGUGGGGAGUAGCUUGCCUAAUUAAUAAAACAAGAAGAAAUCAA